RNAcentral lists this ribosomal RNA (254 nucleotides) under uncultured bacterium. RNAcentral's name for it is "partial 16S ribosomal RNA". It matches the Rfam family "Bacterial small subunit ribosomal RNA", at positions 524 to 776 of the family's 1533-position model. The record is from RNAcentral.
UACGGGGGGAGCAAGCGUUGUUCGGAUUUACUGGGCGUAAAGGGCGCGUAGGCGGCCACCGCAAGUCGACUGUGAAAUCUCUGGGCUUAACCCAGAACGGUCAGCCGAUACUGCGGGGCUAGAGUGCAGAAGGGGCAACUGGAAUUCUCGGUGUAGCGGUGAAAUGCGUAGAUAUCGAGAGGAACACCUGCGGCGAAGGCGGGUUGCUGGGCUGACACGGACGCUGAGGCGCGAAAGCUAGGGGAGCGAACGGG